RNAcentral lists this ribosomal RNA (490 nucleotides) under uncultured bacterium. RNAcentral describes it as "partial 16S ribosomal RNA". It matches the Rfam family "Bacterial small subunit ribosomal RNA", at positions 30 to 507 of the family's 1533-position model. The record is from RNAcentral.
AUUGAACGCUGGCGGCAGGCCUAACACAUGCAAGUCGAACGGUAACAGGAAGCAGCUUGCUGCUUCGCUGACGAGUGGCGGACGGGUGAGUAAUGUCUGGGAAGCUGCCUGAUGGAGGGGGAUACCUACUGGAAACGGUGGCUAAUACGGCAUAUUUUCGCAAGACCAAAGGGGGGGACCUCCGGGCUCCUUGCCUUCGGUUGGGCCCAGAUGGGAUUAGCUUGUUGGUGGGGUAACGGCUCACCAAGGCGACGAUCCCUAGCUGGUCUGAGAGGAUGACCAGCCACACUGGAACUGAGACACGGUCCAGACUCCUACGGGAGGCAGCAGUGGGGAAUAUUGCACAAUGGGCGCAAGCCUGAUGCAGCCAUGCCGCGUGUAUGAAGAAGGCCUUCGGGUUGUAAAGUACUUUCAGCGGGGAGGAAGGGAGUAAAGUUAAUACCUUUGCUCAUUGACGUUACCCGCAGAAGAAGCACCGGCUAACUCCGUG